UACGAACGCUGGCGGCGUGCCUAAUACAUGCAAGUUGAGCGAUGAAGAUUGGUGCUUGCACCAAUUUGAAGAGCAGCGAACGGGUGAGUAACGCGUGGGGAAUCUGCCUUUGAGCGGGGGACAACAUUUGGAAACGAAUGCUAAUACCGCAUAACAACUUUAAACAUAAGUUUUAAGUUUGAAAGAUGCAAUUGCAUCACUCAAAGAUGAUCCCGCGUUGUAUUAGCUAGUUGGUGAGGUAAAGGCUCACCAAGGCGAUGAUACAUAGCCGACCUGAGAGGGUGAUCGGCCACAGUGGGACUGAGACACGGCCCAAACUCCUACGGGAGGCAGCAGUAGGGAAUCUUCGGCAAUGGACGAAAGUCUGACCGAGCAACGCCGCGGGAGUGAAGAAGGGUGUCGGAUCGUAAAACUCGGUUGGUAGAGAAGAACGUUGGUGAGAGUGGAAAGCUCAUCAAGUGACGGUAACUACCCAGAAAGGGACGGCUAACUACGUG
RNAcentral lists this ribosomal RNA (497 nucleotides) under uncultured bacterium. Its description in RNAcentral is "partial 16S ribosomal RNA". It matches the Rfam family "Bacterial small subunit ribosomal RNA", at positions 29 to 507 of the family's 1533-position model. The record is from RNAcentral.